Cebus imitator (Panamanian white-faced capuchin) is the source of this 1320-nucleotide long non-coding RNA. RefSeq lists it as uncharacterized. The transcript has 2 exons. The record is from RefSeq and is a predicted model, not a curated record. NCBI's taxonomy places the organism in Eukaryota, Metazoa, Chordata, Mammalia, Primates, Cebidae.
UUUGCUUGCUGAAUACACGCAUUCCCUGCAUUAUCUCACAACUGUUCCAAAUUUAAGAAGCGAGGGCAUGGGAGGUGUGCAGAAAGUGGCGUGCUCUUUUACCCUCCCAGACAAAGGCACGUGUUUGAGAACCUAGGAAACCUCUCGCUCAGCCCCCCCAGCGGGCCUGACUCUCGGCCCUGGGCACCUUGCGGUGAGUCCAUGCUGUGCCUCACUCUGAAUGGCACCCCUUCCCUUAGCUGAAACAUGUCAGGUUCACCUUUCACACUUCCAAAAACAUUUGCAUGGUUUUGUAAAUAUUCAGAGAAUACUUUCAUUAUUUCUUAUCUGCAAACUCGAGUGAAAAACCAUAACCAUUAAUAUGUACUCUGUUUUGCAAGAUAGACAUGACCCACAGCUUACAAUGGGAAAAAUAACGGAUACAUUUACCACCAGGCAUUUUGUAAGGGAGAGAGUUAUUUUGGGUCUUUUCUUGGGGACAGUGGCCAAGCUGUACGCAGCACUUACUGUCCCUGGAAGCUGCAGGAACAAUGGUGUCAAAUGUCUUGCACAGUGGCAGGGCCGGGGCCUCACACAAUGUCUGCUUUUCAGAAAUGGCAUGCAACACCCAGUAAGCGGCUGCACAGGGCCGCCCGGUACCAGCGCGUGUUAGCUACUAUUUUUUAAGGAUAAAAAUAACUUAAAAGCUCUUCAAGCGAGAAACUAUUCAGUAAAAUACUUUCAAAAAGCCUCAGGCAGUAACACGAUUUUCCAGAUUAGGGGAAGGUGAUGUAAUAAUUAGACAAAUGGGAAGAAGGAUGCUCCGAGGUAUCAUUUAUAAAACUGGCCUCGGAGGACUCCCUCCAACCGCACUGGAUAUACGACCAAGCUACUCCCAGAUAUACACUGCUUUAGAAAAGAAUGCAUACUAACAUUUAAAUGCCUUGUUUUUCUUUCAGGAAACAUUUUGAGAAAAUGUAUCAAUCAAAGAAUCAGAUAUUAUUUACAUUUUAUAAGGCCUAUCAGAAGGAAGCAAUUGAAAUAUUUCCCAUCCAUGCAUCUAGAGGAGGAAGAGACUUUUAAAGGAACAAGCUGGGAUAGAUUCUUGUGAGUCAGGCUUGGGUUAUUUCUGAGGGGUGCGGGCUACCAUGACAUCUAAAAGCUGUAAAUAAGUGCUGUGGCCUGCAGGGCACCCCGCAGACCUGCUGGUGACCCUGCCCUGCUCCUGCUGCAAUCACUGGAGGCCAGUGUGACACUCACAGCAGCAUGGACAUGGGUUGCAAGGUCCUUUUCGGUCUCAACCUCUACAAACACCCAAAUGCAGUGCAUGAAAUGUUUUCA